AUUGAACGCUGGCGGCAGGCCUAACACAUGCAAGUCGAACGGUAACAGGAAGCAGCUUGCUGCUUUGCUGACGAGUGGCGGACGGGUGAGUAAUGUCUGGGAAACUGCCCGCUGGAGGGGGAUAACUACUGGAAACGGUAGCUAAUACCGCAUAACGUCGCAAGCCCAAAGAGGGGGACCUUAGGGCCUCUUGCCAUCGGAUGUGCCCAGAUGGGAUUAGCUAGUAGGUGGGGUAACGGCUCACCUGGGCGACGAUCCCUAGCUGGUCUGAGAGGAUGACCAGCCACACUGGAACUGAGACACGGUCCAGACUCCUACGGGAGGCAGCAGUGGGGAAUAUUGCACAAUGGGCGCAAGCCUGAUGCAGCCAUGCCGCGUGUAUGAAGAAGGCCUUCGGGUUGUAAAGUACUUUCAGCGGGGAGGAAGGGAGUAAAGUUAAUACCUUUGCUCAUUGACGUUACCCGCAGAAGAAGCACCGGCUAACUCCGUG
Molecule: ribosomal RNA, 490 nt
Filed under: uncultured bacterium
Lineage: Bacteria
Description: partial 16S ribosomal RNA
Rfam family: Bacterial small subunit ribosomal RNA
Source: RNAcentral